This 321-nucleotide unclassified non-coding RNA is filed under the name Basidiomycota sp. Its description in RNAcentral is "partial contains small subunit ribosomal RNA and internal transcribed spacer 1". The stretch from base 1 to 47 matches the Rfam family "Eukaryotic small subunit ribosomal RNA", at positions 1785 to 1831 of the family's 1831-position model. Lineage: Eukaryota; Fungi; Basidiomycota. The record is from RNAcentral.
AAAGUCGUAACAAGGUUUCCGUAGGUGAACCUGCGGAAGGAUCAUCAAUAGUCCAAAACAUUACUUAACUAUUAUAUGGUUAAGUAAUAAACCUUCUUGUGCACUGUUGUUAAUGUCAUGGUAGACUGGGAGUUUUUGUUAUUGUUGUUGCUGUUACUUAAUUGUGGUGGCAAUGAUAAUGAUGCGCCUCCCAGCCUACUGUCUGUUAUCACACAAACACUGUUAUUUUAAAGUCUGAUUCUUGUUGUAUUAUCACUGCGUAACAUCAGUAGAUAAAUAAUACUAUUAAUACAACUUACAGCGAUGGAUCUCUAGGCUCUG